Long non-coding RNA from Cydia fagiglandana, 249 nucleotides. RefSeq lists it as uncharacterized. The record is from RefSeq and is a predicted model, not a curated record. Lineage: Eukaryota; Metazoa; Arthropoda; Insecta; Lepidoptera; Tortricidae. The transcript has 2 exons.
GAGUGUCCCUGGUUGUUUUGAAGCUAGCUCAAACAUAAGUGACAUUGAAUAUUUUAAUUCAGAUUUCGAUUACAAAGAAUAAAACUUUUUCUUAUAAAAUAUUUCUUUAUUUGUAAGUUCGUUUACUAGGUUCUGUUAGUUACGAAAUUAUAUUUCAUAUUUAGCAGUGACUUUUCGGCGAAGUAAAAUAUCGUGAGAUGAGAGAACCGGACAUAUCCCAAUAAGGCCUACCUACUUAUGCACUAUUUU